Molecule: microRNA precursor, 60 nt
Filed under: Blattella germanica (German cockroach)
Lineage: Eukaryota; Metazoa; Arthropoda; Insecta; Blattodea; Blattellidae
Description: Bge-Novel-19_pre stem-loop
Source: RNAcentral
UAAGGCUCAUAUGCGCAAGACUAUGUUAAUGAUAUUAGUUUUGAUCAUGUAAGCCUUUAU